UAAGAUAAUUUUGUUACUUCCAAUACAGAAACCAGAUGACAUUAUGCUGUUAAAAUGACUGCUUGUGUAUUGCGUUUGUGCAUCUUUGCAGGAUCUGAAAUGUCUGCAGACUGGUGUGAGUAGUGAGGAUGGAGGAGUCCACAGCAGUAUCCUGGAAAUGGUUCAGUGCCGCUCCAUCACUCCACCUCUUACUGCCUCAUCUGGGCCGGAUGCUGCUGUGGUCUCUUCAUCCUCAGUGACCCCAGAGCCAGCGAGAGCAUCUAGAGCAGGGGUGCCCAAGUGAUCCUAAAUACCCUAAUUACUUGCCUCAGGUGUGUUUGAUUAGGGCUGGAGCUGAAUUUUGCAGGAGAGUCGAUUGCCAGGAGCAGGGCUGGGCACCCCUGAUCUAGAGAAACACCAAAAGACACUGAGGAUGGACCUACAAUCCACUGGAACAACCUGGAUUGCUUAAGGACAUACUGGUGGUUUUGAACCAGCAACCUUCUGCUCACCAGUUCAGUGGUUUAGCCCACUACAAAAGUAGUCGUGCUCAUGGAAAGCAGCACACAGAUGUUUGGAGCAGACACAGUGGCCGCCAGAUUGUCCCACAUGUGUUCCCCUGCUUUUGCUUCUAGCUUGUGUGGUUCAGAGCCGUCAUCAUGGUCUUCCUCAUCCUCUUGCUCAACGAUGUCCCCAUUGAGAAGAGCGAGAUUGUGAAGCACAGCGCAGCAGCAGAACUGUCUCAGCUGUGUUGAGAUGGCAGUAUGAUGUGGGAUUCACCAUCUGUAAAUACAUGAUUGUUAGAACAAUACGUUUGAAUUAAGCUUUGUUUCAUCUGUUGUUGACUUGUAUAUGUAUUUAUUGUGAUGCUUAUUUUUAUUCAUUACUUUACUCAUUCAUGUUUAUUGU
Long non-coding RNA from Sinocyclocheilus grahami, 888 nucleotides. RefSeq lists it as uncharacterized. The transcript has 3 exons. Lineage: Eukaryota; Metazoa; Chordata; Actinopteri; Cypriniformes; Cyprinidae. The record is from RefSeq and is a predicted model, not a curated record.